CACGUAGGUAACCUGCCCAUGUGUCCGGGAUAACUGCUGGAAACGGUAGCUAAAACCGGAUAGGUAUACAGAGCGCAUGCUCAGUAUAUUAAAGCGCCCAUCAAGGCGUGAACAUGGAUGGACCUGCGGCGCAUUAGCUAGUUGGUGAGGUAACGGCCCACCAAGGCGAUGAUGCGUAGCCGGCCUGAGAGGGUAAACGGCCACAUUGGGACUGAGACACGGCCCAA
RNAcentral lists this ribosomal RNA (227 nucleotides) under uncultured bacterium. RNAcentral's name for it is "partial 16S ribosomal RNA". It matches the Rfam family "Bacterial small subunit ribosomal RNA", at positions 114 to 334 of the family's 1533-position model. The record is from RNAcentral.